GGGGUAAAAUUAAUUAAUAAAAUUAAUUAAUAAAAGAAAUUUUAAUAUUAAAAAAUAUUUAAUGGGGGUUAAAGUAUUUUUAAUUGAAAAAAUUUGAAAUUUUAUAGUAAAUUAGUAUUGUGGGGGAAAUUUGAAAUAAUAAUUUAAAUUAAAUUAAUUUGAAAGUAAAUUUUAUUUGUUGUAUCUUGUGUAUCAGAGUUUAUUAAAAAUUUUUUAUUUAAAUUAAAUUUCUCGAAUUUAAAAGGGCUAAUUAAUUAAUAAAUUUAUUGUUUCAUAAAUAUUUUAAAUAAUUAAUUAGAAAUGAAAUGUUAUUCGUUUUUAAAUAUAUCUAGUUAUUUUAGAAAAAAAUUUAAUUUUUAAUUUGAAUUUAAAAUUAAUUAAUUAAUUAAUUAAUUUUAAAUUCAAAUUUAAUAUUUUAAGGGAUAAGCUUUAAUUUAAAUUUUUAUAAUAAAGUGAAUAAAAUUUGAAAAUUUUAUAAUUUAUAUUGUUAAUAAAUUUUAAUUUAUUAUAAAUAAUUUCAAUAAAAUUGAAAAUUUAAUUUUAAAUUUAAAUUUUUAUAAAAAAAAAUUUUUUAAUUAUAAAAAAUUAGUUAUAAUGAUAAAAUUAGUAUAUAAGUAUUGAAAUUGAAUUAUAAUCAUAAAUAAUUAUUUUAAAGGAAUUCGACAAAAAAUUAUAUUCACCUGUUUAUCAAAAACAUGUCUUUUUGGUUAAUAAUUUAAAGUCUAAUCUGCCCACUGAUUAAAUAAUUAAAGGGCUGCAGUAUAUUGACUGUACAAAGGUAGCAUAAUCAUUAGUCUCUUAAUUGGUGACUUGUAUGAAAGAUUGGAUGAAAUAUAAAUUGUCUCUAAAAUAUUUAUUAGAAAUUAAUUUUUUAAUUAAAAAGUUUAAAUAAAUUAAAAAGACGAGAAGACCCUAUAGAGUUUUAUAAUUAAUUGUUUUUAAGUUUUUAAUUAAUUAGUUUUAAAUUAAAAAAUUAAUUAAUUAUUUUAUUGGGGUGAUAAAAAAAUUAAUUAAACUUUUUUUAAUUUUUAACAUAAAUAAUUGAUUAAAUGAUCCAAUAUUUUUGAUUAUAAGAAAAAAUUACCUUAGGGAUAACAGCGUAAUUUUUUUUUUUAGUUCAAAUAAGAAAAAGAGUUUGCGACCUCGAUGUUGGAUUAAGAUAAAAUUUAAAUGCAGAAAUUUAAAAUUUUGAUCUGUUCGAUCAUUAAAAUCUUACAUGAUCUGAGUUCAAACCGGUGUAAGCCAGGUUGGUUUCUAUCUUUUAAAUAAUAUUAUAUUUUAGUACGAAAGGAUUAAAUAUUAUAAUUAAAUUAAGUUAAAUUGAAUUUUAUUAAAAUAAAAAUAAAUUUA
This 1350-nucleotide ribosomal RNA is filed under the name Rhagastis binoculata. RNAcentral describes it as "16S ribosomal RNA". Lineage: Eukaryota; Metazoa; Arthropoda; Insecta; Lepidoptera; Sphingidae. The record is from RNAcentral.